GACGAACGCUGGCGGCGUGCCUAAUACAUGCAAGUCGAGCGAAGCGGCGGGUGGGUGAGUAACGCGUGGGUAACCUGCCCUUAAGUCUGGGAUACCAUUUGGAAACAGAUACUCAUAACGGAUACUAAAGGAUGGACCGGCGAUGCAUUAGCUAGUUGGUAAGGUACCGGCUUACCAAGGCGAGGAUGCAAAGCCGAUCGGAGAGACGGAUCGGCCACAUUGGGACUGAGACACGGCCCAAACUCCUACGGGAGGCAGCAGUAGGGAAUCUUCCACAAUGGACGAAAGUCUGAUGGAGCAACGCCGCGUGAGUGAAGAAGGUUUUCGGAUCGUAAAGCUCUGUUGUUGGAGAAGCGGUAAUUAACCAGAAAGUCACGGCUAACUACGUGCCAGCAGCCGCGGUAAUUC
RNAcentral lists this ribosomal RNA (408 nucleotides) under uncultured bacterium. RNAcentral's name for it is "partial 16S ribosomal RNA". It matches the Rfam family "Bacterial small subunit ribosomal RNA", at positions 28 to 526 of the family's 1533-position model. The record is from RNAcentral.